CACAGAUAAUCAGCUUUGAUAUAGGAUCUAAAUGGGCUUUUUCUAUUGAGUAGAGGCUGAGAUGUUAAGAGUGGGAAUUUAUUUUGGGAUACUGUAUAUAAGGGAUCUCCAACUUACAAGAAUUUGUAGUCAUAAUGGCAAUAAUCUAUAAUAAACAAAUUUAUAAUGCAUAAUAAUAAUGUAAAUAAAAUUCAUACUUAUAAUACUUGCACCGAAUGGCCGCACAAUAAACUGAUUUACUUAAAACCUGGAGGAUUCAGGUUUGAUUCUGAAUCUUACACUUGUAAAUUCUUGUUGACCAAUCCAUUAGGAAUCUGUUCAGAAUUUCACCCUUCUGACAGUCAAUCUCACCUUAAGUGUUUACUAUCUAUUAUGGAAGUCAACUAGAUGGCUUCAUAAUAGAGUUUGCUUUCCAACUGGAGGAGCUAUAUUCAAAUCUAGAUUCCUAUAAUUCUAGGUUUUUUUUUCAGAAAGAAUUCAGGUCUGGCUCAUUAAACUCUUCUCCACCUGAUGGUUGAUUCCAUCAUAGGUGUGGGUAACCCAUGAUGAGUGUUGGAAUAGUCUCGUUGCUUAAUAAGUUCUGGUUAUAAAUUGACUUAAAAUGAGAAAAAGAGAAAAUAAUUGUAGGAAUACUAAUAUAUAAUUGUUUUUUAAUUAGCUGUUUCAAUUUAAGAAUUUUUCCUAAAAUAAAAUCUGAUGAAAUUGCAUGUUAUAAAUAAAUUCACUAUAAGAAAAUCACUUACA
This 744-nucleotide long non-coding RNA is filed under the name Androctonus crassicauda. The record is from RNAcentral. Lineage: Eukaryota; Metazoa; Arthropoda; Arachnida; Scorpiones; Buthidae.